CGAGCAUUUUCUCUGCCCUGAGUACUCAGAACACAAAUAAAAGAAUCUGCAUUUCACUCAUUCCUGUCUCAAGUACCAAAUUAUGGUUUGCAGCAGUAGCUCUAAACCCCAUUCUGAUAUUGUGCACGGAAAUCCCAAGCACCUCUCCUUCCAUAUGUUUGGGAAUCCUCUCUGAAAUAUCCAGCCAUAGUUUCAGACAAAGAGUUUUGAAAUUUGGGUAAAUUCAGAAAGGUAUAUCCCAGGAUACACCUUCAAGAUAACUCUUUAGGAUUCUACGUUACUAUAGUGUAGGACAAUAAAAUGUAAGAAUACAGUCCUGAGUGUUUUGGUGAAACCCCUUGGCAGUGAAUAUGGAAAGGUUUAAUUGAAAUGAUUUCUGAAUAGAGUUAACCUGUGUAUAGAUAAAGCCUUUUCUCAGCUCUAAGUGGCUUUAAAACACCUGUAAUUAAAGUCCAACAUCCUCCUGGUUAUUUCAUGCUGCUGUAAGUACCUUUAUACAGAUAUUGAAACAGCCAUAGCAGGGUUUAUACAGAUAUAAACCAGCUGUACGUGGGCCAGCCCUGAAGUCAACCACUGCAAUUAACCUUACGCCACCAUUCUCCAUUUUAUUGUUAAGCAGUUGGCUAAAUGUAUUUGGUAAAAUGUCUUGUGAAGAAAUCAUGUUUACGAGUACUUUGGGCCAAUCUCUUGCCUGGUUUCAAAAAUUAUUUAUUUUUAAUUAUCAGGGCGCAUCCCUGUUCCUUAGGAGGCUUCGUGAUUUAGAGUACGGUACAGGAGGAAGUUGCUCGUCAGGUCUCGACACUGGACAGAAAGACAGCGUGUUCUGAGCAGGCAGCCUCACCGUGCCCGUGAACGUCCGUGCCAUCAAAUCCCUCCUCUUCGUCGCGAGCACUGAGCAGAAAACUCCUCUGUGAAGUAGGGUGACAAGUUUCCAGCGAGCCUGGGAUCGCGGGGAGGGCGAACGCCGAUAUCCCCGCGGUGUAAGGUACGCACAUCUCGCCUCGUGCAGCCCAGGAGCAGGGCAGAGCCCAUUUUUCCUUCUCUCCUUUUUUUUGGAUCUGCGGGCACACACGCUCCCUCGCAUGACGGAGCCGGCACGGCGAUAGUACGGUGCGAUACAAAUCGCAGGAAUUGAGUCAGCGCAGCGCUGCGGGGUGAUCUGUUCCCCUGCCAGACUGCCACGCUGCUGGGGUGACCGGGAACGAUUUAUUAUGGCCUGGGCCAACCCCGCUCUCCCUCCUUGCACCCCAUAAAGCCGCCGGGCCAGGGGCUGGGCACCCAGCUUCGCACCAAGGCUGGAUUACAGCCCCAAAGAUUUCUUCCAGGGGUGAAGCUAUGCUGGGAACGUGUCCCCCUCCCCCCAAUAAAUAAGAAAUAAAUCAGGAAAAUAAAUAAUAA
This 1398-nucleotide long non-coding RNA is filed under the name Anser cygnoides (Swan goose). RNAcentral's name for it is "lncRNA (ENSACDG00005009852.1)". The record is from RNAcentral. Lineage: Eukaryota; Metazoa; Chordata; Aves; Anseriformes; Anatidae.